Molecule: ribosomal RNA, 478 nt
Filed under: uncultured bacterium
Lineage: Bacteria
Description: partial 16S ribosomal RNA
Rfam family: Bacterial small subunit ribosomal RNA
Source: RNAcentral
GAUGAACGCUGGCGGCGUGCCUAACACAUGCAAGUCGAACGGAGUCCAGCCUUUAAGACCUUCGGGUCAAAGAGGGGAAGACUGAGUGGCGGACGGGUGAGUAACACGUGGGCAACCUGGCUCAUAGAGGGGGAUAACAGAGAGAAAUUUCUGCUAAUACCGCAUACGCACACCCUGCCGCAUGGCAGAGGGUGAAAAGAGAAUCGCUAUGAGAUGGACCCGCGUCUGAUUAGCCAGUUGGCAGGGUAAGAGCCUACCAAAGCGACGAUCAGUAGCCGAUCUGAGAGGAUGAACGGCCACAUUGGGACUGAGACACGGCCCAAACUCCUACGGGAGGCAGCAGUGGGGGAUAUUGCACAAUGGGGGGAACCCUGAUGCAGCGACGCCGCGUGAGUGAAGAAGUAUUUCGGUAUGUAAAGCUCUAUCAGCAGGGAAGAUAAUGACAGUACCUGAAUAAGAAGCCCCGGCUAACUACGUG